AACGCUGGCGGCGUGCCUAAUACAUGCAAGUAGAACGCUGAAGAGAGGAGCUUGCUCUUCUUGGAUGAGUUGCGAACGGGUGAGUAACGCGUAGGUAACCUGCCUUGUAGCGGGGGAUAACUAUUGGAAACGAUAGCUAAUACCGCAUAACAAUGGAUGACACAUGUCAUUUAUUUGAAAGGGGCAAUUGUUCCACUACAAGAUGGACCUGCGUUGUAUUAGCUAGUAGGUGAGGUAAUGGCUCACCUAGGCGACGAUACAUAGCCGACCUGAGAGGGUGAUCGGCCACACUGGGACUGAGACACGGCCCAGACUCCUACGGGAGGCAGCAGUAGGGAAUCUUCGGCAAUGGGGGCAACCCUGACCGAGCAACGCCGCGUGAGUGAAGAAGGUUUUCGGAUCGUAAAGCUCUGUUGUAAGUCAAGAACGGGUGUGAGAGUGGAAAGUUCACACUGUGACGGUAGCUUACCAGAAAGGGACGGCUAACUACGUGCCAGCAGCCGCGGUAAUACGUAGGUCCCGAGCGUUGUCCGGAUUUAUUGGGCGUAAAGCGAGCGCAGGCGGUUUGAUAAGUCUGAAGUUAAAGGCUGUGGCUCAACCAUAGUUCGCUUUGGAAACUGUCAAACUUGAGUGCAGAAGGGGAGAGUGGAAUUCCAUGUGUAGCGGUGAAAUGCGUAGAUAUAUGGAGGAACACCGGUGGCGAAAGCGGCUCUCUGGUCUGUAACUGACGCUGAGGCUCGAAAGCGUGGGGAGCGAACAGGAUUAGAUACCCUGGUAGUCCACGCCGUAAACGAUGAGUGCUAGGUGUUGGAUCCUUUCCGGGAUUCAGUGCCGCAGCUAACGCAUUAAGCACUCCGCCUGGGGAGUACGACCGCAAGGUUGAAACUCAAAGGAAUUGACGGGGGCCCGCACAAGCGGUGGAGCAUGUGGUUUAAUUCGAAGCAACGCGAAGAACCUUACCAGGUCUUGACAUCCCGAUGCUAUUUCUAGAGAUAGAAAGUUACUUCGGUACAUCGGUGACAGGUGGUGCAUGGUUGUCGUCAGCUCGUGUCGUGAGAUGUUGGGUUAAGUCCCGCAACGAGCGCAACCCCUAUUGUUAGUUGCCAUCAUUCAGUUGGGCACUCUAGCGAGACUGCCGGUAAUAAACCGGAGGAAGGUGGGGAUGACGUCAAAUCAUCAUGCCCCUUAUGACCUGGCUACACACGUGCUACAAUGGUUGGUACAACGAGUUGCGAGUCGGUGACGGCGAGCUAAUCUCUUAAAGCCAAUCUCAGUUCGGAUUGUAGGCUGCAACUCGCCUACAUGAAGUCGGAAUCGCUAGUAAUCGCGGAUCAGCACGCCGCGGUGAAUACGUUCCCGGGCCUUGUACACACCGCCCGUCACACCACGAGAGUUUGUAACACCCGAAGUCGGUGAGGUAACCUUUUGGAGCCAGCCGCCUAAGGUGGGACAGAUGAUUGGGGUGAAGU
Molecule: ribosomal RNA, 1469 nt
Filed under: uncultured organism
Description: SSU rRNA
Rfam family: Bacterial small subunit ribosomal RNA
Source: RNAcentral